CCUACGGGCGGCUGCAGUGGGGAAUAUUGGACAAUGGGGGGAACCCUGAUCCAGCCAUGCCGCGUGUGUGAAGAAGGCCCUCGGGUUGUAAAGCACUUUCAGUGAGGAAGAACGCCUGGUGGUUAAUACCCAUCAGGAAAGACAUCACUCACAGAAGAAGCACCGGCUAACUCCGUGCCAGCAGCCGCGGUAAUACGGAGGGUGCGAGCGUUAAUCGGAAUUACUGGGCGUAAAGCGCGCGUAGGUGGCUUGAUAAGCCGGUUGUGAAAGCCCCGGACUCAACCUGGGAACGGCAUCCGGAACUGUCAAGCUAGAGUGCAGGAGAGGAAGGUAGAAUUCCCGGUGUAGCGGUGAAAUGCGUAGAGAUCGGGAGGAAUACCAGUGGCGAAGGCGGCCUUCUGGACUGACACUGACACUGAGGUGCGAAAGCGUGGGUAGCAAACAGGAUUAGAUACCCGAGUAGUC
Molecule: ribosomal RNA, 465 nt
Filed under: Vreelandella stevensii
Lineage: Bacteria; Pseudomonadati; Pseudomonadota; Gammaproteobacteria; Oceanospirillales; Halomonadaceae
Description: partial 16S ribosomal RNA
Rfam family: Bacterial small subunit ribosomal RNA
Source: RNAcentral